GAUGAACGCUAGCUACAGGCUUAACACAUGCAAGUCGAGGGGCAGCGCAGUGUAGCAAUACAUGGGCGGCGACCGGCGCACGGGUGCGUAACGCGUAUCCAACCUUCCCGUUACUCAGGGAUAGCCUUCCGAAAGGGAGAUUAAUACCUGAUGGUGUUUGAAUUCCGCAUGUUAUUCAAACUAAAGAUUUAUCGGUAACGGAUGGGGAUGCGUGACAUUAGGUAGAUGGCGGGGUAACGGCCCACCAUGCCUACGAUGUCUAGGGGUUCUGAGAGGAAGGUCCCCCACACUGGAACUGAGACACGGUCCAGACUCCUACGGGAGGCAGCAGUGAGGAAUAUUGGUCAAUGGGCGCAAGCCUGAACCAGCCAAGUAGCGUGAAGGAUGACUGCCCUAUGGGUUGUAAACUUCUUUUUUACGGGAACAACCACACCUACGUGUAGGUGUCUGCGUGUACCGUACGAAUAAGCAUCGGCUAACUCCGUG
Molecule: ribosomal RNA, 486 nt
Filed under: uncultured bacterium
Lineage: Bacteria
Description: bacterial SSU rRNA
Rfam family: Bacterial small subunit ribosomal RNA
Source: RNAcentral